UAGAUUCUGCGAUGUGCGAAAUAAAAACUUCAUUUAAUUCAACCGACAGAAAAGAUCCGGGAGGCCGUCGUCUUAAUAAGGAUAAAAUGCCCUGCGGGGACUUUAGAGAUAUUAGGCAGGCCACCCACCUAACAACUAGGGCGGGUCUGAAUUAAUGGAGCAUACGGCAUUGCGGAAUUUUU
This 182-nucleotide non-coding RNA is filed under the name Peptoniphilus koenoeneniae. RNAcentral describes it as "6S / SsrS RNA". It matches the Rfam family "6S / SsrS RNA". Rfam says of the family: E. coli 6S RNA was the first non coding RNA to be sequenced, but its function was unknown until recently. Lineage: Bacteria; Bacillati; Bacillota; Tissierellia; Tissierellales; Peptoniphilaceae. The record is from RNAcentral. RNAcentral also lists the same sequence under 1 other name.